This 933-nucleotide long non-coding RNA is filed under the name Homo sapiens (human). RNAcentral describes it as "HSALNT0392934". Lineage: Eukaryota; Metazoa; Chordata; Mammalia; Primates; Hominidae. The record is from RNAcentral.
CUACCCUGCAGAGCCAGAGCCUCGGAUGUGUGAGGAGUUGCCCCAGCUGGAUCAACCAAAUCAGGAAGAGACUUUGGCCAUUUCAAAAAUAAACUUCUCUGCCCACCUCAGUUCAUUCGGCUGAAACAGACCAGGAUCCCGCUGUCCUGCACCAUGUUUCAGACACACUGGCCUCCUUGCAGUUCCACAUGCCCUUCAUGCCCUCAUCUCCUGGAGCUUUACAGAUGGAGACCCACAUAUGGAAACACUCUCUCCAGCCUUCUCACACGCUUUGCCUGCUGAUCCUCUACUUGUCCUUCAGGACUUGGUUUCAACAGCAACCCCAACAGGAUGUGCUCCCAAAGCACAUGCACUUGCCACCAGGGCCACAUUGAUCGUUCAUGCUGAGAUCAACUAUUUCCUGUCUUCUCCCACCACUAGACUCCAAGAUCUGGGGUAUGCGCUCAGUAAAUAUCUGUUAAGCAAAAGAAUGAUUAAUUGUUUAAUUAUUUAUCUACAGUAUCAAGAAGUUCUAUAAGCCCCAGGAAAGAUAAAUAUAAAGAAAUGCACACCUAGACAUAUCAUCAUAAAACUGCAAAAAAAAAAAAAAAGACAAAAAGAAAAUCUUAAAAGCAGCCAGAGAAAAAAAAUUCAAGUACCUUCAAGUGAGCAAUAGAUUGACAGCUAAUGUUCCACACAAAAAAACCCCAAAAACCAAAAAAAAAAAAAAAAAAAAAAACAGAAGGCAGCAAACAAUGCAAUGGUAUGUAUCUACAAAGGACAGAAGAAAAUCAGCUGCCAACCUAGUAACACACUGUGCAUGGGGAAAACAUGCUUCAAGAAUGAAAGUUAAAGAAAGAGGCCGGGUGCGGUGGUUCACACCUGUAAUUCCAACACUUUGGGAGGCCAAGGUAGGUGGAUCACCUAAGGUCAGGAGUUCAAGACCAGCCUGGG